UGGGGGAUAUUGCACAAUGGGCGAAAGCCUGAUGCAGCGACGCCGCGUGGGGGAUGAAGGCCUUCGGGUUGUAAACUUCUUUUGCUCUGAACAAGGCAUGCUAAUGGGUGUGUUGAGCGUAGGGGUUGAUUAGCGCCGGCUAACUACGUGCCAGCAGCCGCGGUAAUACGUAGGGCGCGAGUGUUCUCCGGUAUUUUUGGACGUAAAGGGCUUGUAGGUGGCUGGUUGCGUCUGUCGUGAAAGCUCAUGGCUUAACAGGGGGUUUGCGGUGGGGACGGGCUGGCUUGAGUGCAGUAGGGGAGGCUGGAAUUCCUGGUGUAGCGGUGUAAUGCGCAGAUAUCAGGAGGAAUACCGGUGUGGAAGACGGGUCUCUGGGCUGUUACUGACACUGAGGAGCGAAAGCAUGGGGAGCGAACAGG
RNAcentral lists this ribosomal RNA (419 nucleotides) under bacterium. Its description in RNAcentral is "partial 16S ribosomal RNA". It matches the Rfam family "Bacterial small subunit ribosomal RNA", at positions 355 to 776 of the family's 1533-position model. The record is from RNAcentral.